UACGUAGGAGGCGAGCGUUGUCCGGAGUUACUGGGCGUAAAGAGCGCGUAGGCGGGAGAGCAAGUCCGGUGUGAAAGCCCCCGGCUCAACCGGGGAAGGUCGCUGGAAACUGCUCUUCUUGAGGUGGACAGAGGGAAGUGGAAUUCCUGGUGUAGCGGUGAAAUGCGUAGAUAUCAGGAGGAACACCCAUGGCGAAGGCAGCUUCCUGGGUCCAAUCUGACGCUGAGGCGCGAAAGCCAGGGGAGCGAACGGG
This 253-nucleotide ribosomal RNA is filed under the name uncultured bacterium. RNAcentral describes it as "partial 16S ribosomal RNA". It matches the Rfam family "Bacterial small subunit ribosomal RNA", at positions 524 to 776 of the family's 1533-position model. The record is from RNAcentral.